GGCCCGGGGUUCCCAAACGGAGCAGGGCUUGCUUCGCCCAAAUUGGGGUGCUGCACAUGUUUGUGAUUCGGAGGGCAGAUGGGGAUCUGCUGCCCCGACACCGAGCGCAAAUCCUUCCCGGUGUCAGAAGUCCCGGGCGUUCUCUCCAUCACAUUUUGGCUCUGCUCAAGGAAUUACGGUGUCCUGUCUGCAGGAGACAGAUGGGUGCUGGAGCAAAACCAGCUCUGGUACCUGUGUGACAGAAUUUGCACCCUCACAACUGGUUCUUUUUCUGGAGAGGAGAACCUCUCCAGCUCCGAGGUCACGCUUGGUGGAGCUGGCUUGGCCGGCGGCUUUCUGGUUUCAUCUCGAGUUGCUCUUCCAUUUUUCCUUCCUCUGGGGAUCCGUCUGCUGCUCGAGAAGAGGAGCUGUGCCAGGCAGCGGUGACUUGUUCCGAUCUGCAGUGCUCUAGGGAAGGCAGCGGUGGCUCCGUUCCUCAGAUGUCCUGGCAGAUUUGGUGGCGCGUGCUGGAAGGAGGUGGGGGCGAGAGGGGAACGAGCGCAUCUGCUUGCAGAACUGCUUCAGCCCUUGACGUAAGGAUGCUGCUUCCAUUCUCCUCCUACCUACAGACUGUGAGUAGAUACCAGACGUUUAAAACACGUAGUAACAGGGAUCCAAAUCCUGCACCUGCCAACCUUGGUGCUGAGUCCUCGCUCACCUCGUCCAGGGCGCACGGAACAAAAGUCGACCUUGCCCGGUGCUGGAUGUGGAAUCCCAAACGCAGCAGCAGAAGUGAAAGAAAAUCCUGAUCACGGCAGAUAAAUUCCUCUGCUUCUGCUCAUCGUUCAGAUGUUUGGGAGGGGAUUCAUCCCAAGAGGCUUAUCCUGGGACAGCUCUUGCCUGUGAUCUCCCAGUCUUGGAAGCUGAAGCAUGUUAACAAAUUGUCCUGUAUUUAAUAUUAAACAAAACAACAAGCUUCUGUGUUUCUAACCGUCACUACUGGGCUAGAGCUGAGCUUUGAAGGAUGCUUUAAUGCUGCUCUGGAAAGCAGAGCCCAGAAAGCCCGCGAGGCGGAGUGAAACUCGAGCAGCAGCAGCAGCAGACGAUGAGGCCGAGGUCCACGGCUGCCUUUCUGGAGGCAAAAACCAGCCUCUAAUCCAAGCGCAAUGCCAAGUAUGUUGCGAGGCUCCGCAGGGAUUGAGUUCUGCAGAAAACCAACAUUGUGCAAGUUGUCCAGGGCUCCUGAUACGGACACAAACCGUCCCCAGGAACCGAGCCUGCUGCUGUGCAGGACCAAGAGGAGCCUCUGGUUGGGUGUCACGCAGUUUGUGAUGGGAAGUGCUGCGUCUCAGGGCACUCGGCACGUGGUAGCUGGGCUGGACAGAGCCGGAGGCUGCGUGUAAAGAACAUGCCUGGACCAUCCGGGAGAGGAACUGGACGAGCUGCUGAGCCCUCCCAGCUUUAAUUGCUUUUUCUCGCUUGGCACAAGCAAUUUGGCAUCCUGGUUGCUUUGCUGGUUUUCAGCAAAGGUUUUGGAGCCCUGCUUCCUGAACAGCCUGUCACCGAGUAAACCCUCCUGACUUUGUUUAAAGGAUCUGUAGUCUUCAGCUCUGAACUCCUCGUUAGCCACAAGAAAUGCAAAAGUACUGAUGUGACGGAGGAAAACCGUGUGGCUUUCUGCAGAAGUGGCAGCUGCUUUCAAAAAGUAACUUACAUUUUCCAAGGCCAUCAGUUCAUUGACGCUGUUUCUGCCCAGGUUUUCCAUCUUUUCUGCCUGCCUGCCUGUUUUUUCCCCCCCUCACUUCUCUGCUCUGGUUUUCUGACCGCAUCUCCUUGCCCGCAGUGCUACCAGAUCCUGAAUUUGUGGGCUUUUCCCUUGGAUAAAACCCCACCAAAUGCAGCACUGCUGGGCUUCAGCUGUGUGUCCCUUUGGGGAAGGAUUCUCUUGUGCCUACAGAUCAGGAGUUAUUUAAAUAUUUCUGCUUGGUGCUCUGCUGGAUGACUGUAACGUGCUGCAGAUUUUUAAUUCAGCUGGAAAAUGACUGUAAAGACGUGUAGGUGACACCAGCUGGCCUCUCCCAGGUAUGGAAGAUGAGCUUCAUCAGCAGCUGAAUGCUAACGAGCUUGCUGGUAACGGCAGGAGAGGAGUUCAGUCGAUGGAGCAAAUUGUUUUAAGGUUAAACCAGAGCCCUCGCAGCGACCUGAGACGGGAGCCUGGCACCAGGCAGUCCCUGAGCAGUGCUGGUGGUGGUGGUGUGACACCGAGCUCUGUCCCCACGAGGUGAACGAUUUGGGCACCAGGCUGGGCUGAGGAUGGCUGCACAAAGUACCUGAGCAGAGGCACCCCACCCCGGGCAGGAAUGAGGGGGCCAGGUCGCUUGGGAGCAUCCCCUGACCUUUUACACUCCUCGUGGUUGUUUUUUUUUUUUGCAAUACCAAGCAGGAUUAUUAGGUCAAUCGUUUCUGUAAUCUGCAGGGGAUUACACUGCUCUGCAGCUGCUGUAAACUAUAGGGGCUUUCCCUCUUUCCCUUGAAGAAAAAAAACCAACAAACUCUGUCCUCCAGAGGCUCUUUAAAAAAACCUCCUUUCCCUUGGUAUUCUGCCUGUAAUUCCUCCCGUUCCCCUCCCACCCCCCUGCGCUCGCUGGCUCAGGUUUGAACCCAGCCCUGGAGCUCUCCGGCACGCGGAGGGCUUGGCAGCGGGGCUGCUCUCACCCCAAAGUCCUGCUCCCCAGCUCAGACCCCAAAAAAUAAAAAAGGGGGAUGUCUGGGGAGGGGUCCCAGCCCCUUCUGCCAGUCUGUGCUGCUGCCUCGGCACGGAGAGCCACGGGUGUAAAAGCUGCCCCUUUGCGCCCGGGCUGCCGGCUUCUGCUCGGGUAGGAGCUGGUGCUGCCCCUGGCUUUGAGUGAAUAAAUCCAAUUUUCGGAGCUGCUCCCACAAAGCCUUGCCCUUGGGGUGAGCCUGGGUGAAUCGGGGCAGAAAAGCUUGGUUUCCCCGAGGGGGAAGAGACGCUGCGCUCACCGAGGCUUUGCUGUUUCUAAGGGCUCCUUGGGACCCUGGGGUAAGCAAAUAUCUGGCUCCCUGCUUAAUCCUUGCUGUAACAUCAGCUUGCCUGCAUCAGCCCUAACCACCAGGGCCUUUUUGUCUAGAGGAGAAGCUGUUUUGGUGAGUUUUGUCUCUGCUUUUGGUGGUUUUUGUCUCUCAGCUGCGCCCAGCGCCCUUUCCCAGGCUGUCACCCCCGCGGGUCCCUUCGGCUCCGUCUCCCGGCCCCCCCUCCUGUGCCAGCCGUCUCCCCGCUUUAGGUAAUCCCUAUUUUUUGCAUGCAUUGCCUUAGUGCUCGGAGCUGUGAAGGGUUCGGAGGCGGUUCCUGUGAGACCUGCGUGCAAUAAUUACACCAAGUGCGGGUGCUGCUUUUAGCAGGCUGAUUUGCGCGUUCCGCGCUCCCAGUCAGCAGCCGUGCGCCGAGCUGCUGCUGCUGCUGCUGUCAGGUUUUUAUUCCCUGGCUGGCGUGAACAAAGCUGCCUCUGUAAGAACUGACAGCUUUGUAACCCGGUUUCACCCUGCAGCAGGCAGGUGAAGUGCCUUGCUGCGAUGUGUGAGGGGUUUGGACACAAUCCUCCGAGGGCAGGAGGUGGCCGGAGUGAGCGGGGCGAUGCGCUGCUCUUCGGAGUGCCCAGCUCUGCUUUCUAGCCCAAUUUAAAACCCUGACCACUGGAAAAAGACACAGCAGUUUGUCACCUUGUCACCCGCAGCCCCAUAAGCCAGGAGGAGGAGAAGGGAUUUGAAAUCCUAGAGCAGGAAUCCUCUGCAGGGGGGGCUGAGGAUGCGGAGAGGGACAGCGCCCAUGGCACCAGGGGCUGGAAUCCCAUCAGGGCUGGUUGGAGGUGAGCUGAGACACGCAGGGGAUGCUCACAUCUCAGAGCUUUUCAUCUGAGCAGUCCCUGGGAGAAAAGAGAACCUGGGAGGAGAGCGAAAAUCCAUGCAUUUGUGUCUGCCUCACCCCAAAACCCGCCUGGGUCACAGCCCCUGCCCUGCCCCCUUGCCUGGGUGCUGCGGGCAGGGCUGGGGGUCCCUGCUCUGCUCCUCCAGGAAAAAAAAAACAAAACAAAAAAAAA
Molecule: non-coding RNA, 4094 nt
Organism: Anas platyrhynchos (mallard)
Lineage: Eukaryota; Metazoa; Chordata; Aves; Anseriformes; Anatidae
Source: RefSeq, a predicted model, not a curated record